GGCAGAGGGUGCAAACGUUGUUCGGAUUUACUGGGCGUAAAGCGCGUGUAGGCGGUCUUGCAAGUCGGAUGUGAAAGCCCACGGCUCAACCGUGGAAGUGCAUCCGAAACUGCAUAGCUUGAGUCUCGGAGAGGAAGGUGGAAUGCUUGGUGUAGAGGUGAAAUUCGUAGAUAUCAAGCAGAACACCUGCGGCGAAGGCGGCCUUCUGGACGAUGACUGACGCUGAGACGCGAAAGCGUGGGGAGCAAACAGG
Molecule: ribosomal RNA, 253 nt
Filed under: uncultured bacterium
Lineage: Bacteria
Description: partial 16S ribosomal RNA
Rfam family: Bacterial small subunit ribosomal RNA
Source: RNAcentral